AGGAUGCAGGAGAGACCGGUAAAUCCGGCGCCGAAGAAGAACUGCGGAAAAACUUUCAGGCAGAAGGACUGCAUU
This 75-nucleotide non-coding RNA is filed under the name uncultured Bulleidia sp. RNAcentral describes it as "Glycine riboswitch". It matches the Rfam family "Glycine riboswitch aptamer", at positions 8 to 87 of the family's 94-position model. From Rfam's summary of the family: This family represents the bacterial glycine riboswitch. Glycine riboswitches usually consist of two metabolite-binding aptamers domains with similar structures in tandem. The record is from RNAcentral. Lineage: Bacteria; Bacillati; Bacillota; Erysipelotrichia; Erysipelotrichales; Erysipelotrichaceae.